This 253-nucleotide ribosomal RNA is filed under the name uncultured bacterium. RNAcentral describes it as "partial 16S ribosomal RNA". It matches the Rfam family "Bacterial small subunit ribosomal RNA", at positions 524 to 776 of the family's 1533-position model. The record is from RNAcentral.
UACGUAGGGUGCAAGCGUUGUCCGGAUUUAUUGGGCGUAAAGAGCGUGUAGGCGGCCAGGUAGGUCCGUUGUGAAAACUCGAGGCUCAACCUCGAGACGCCGAUGGAAACCAUCUGGCUAGAGUCCGGAAGAGGAGAGUGGAAUUCCUGGUGUAGCGGUGAAAUGCGCAGAUAUCAGGAGGAACACCGAUGGCGAAGGCAGGUCUCUGGGCUGACACUGACGCUCAUGCACGAAAGCGUGGGGAGCAAACAGG